Molecule: ribosomal RNA, 742 nt
Filed under: Bacillus pumilus
Lineage: Bacteria; Bacillati; Bacillota; Bacilli; Caryophanales; Bacillaceae
Description: bacterial SSU rRNA
Rfam family: Bacterial small subunit ribosomal RNA
Source: RNAcentral
GUCGAGCGGACAGAAGGGAGCUUGCUCCCGGAUGUUAGCGGCGGACGGGUGAGUAACACGUGGGUAACCUGCCUGUAAGACUGGGAUAACUCCGGGAAACCGGAGCUAAUACCGGAUAGUUCCUUGAACCGCAUGGUUCAAGGAUGAAAGACGGUUUCGGCUGUCACUUACAGAUGGACCCGCGGCGCAUUAGCUAGUUGGUGGGGUAAUGGCUCACCAAGGCGACGAUGCGUAGCCGACCUGAGAGGGUGAUCGGCCACACUGGGACUGAGACACGGCCCAGACUCCUACGGGAGGCAGCAGUAGGGAAUCUUCCGCAAUGGACGAAAGUCUGACGGAGCAACGCCGCGUGAGUGAUGAAGGUUUUCGGAUCGUAAAGCUCUGUUGUUAGGGAAGAACAAGUGCGAGAGUAACUGCUCGCACCUUGACGGUACCUAACCAGAAAGCCACGGCUAACUACGUGCCAGCAGCCGCGGUAAUACGUAGGUGGCAAGCGUUGUCCGGAAUUAUUGGGCGUAAAGGGCUCGCAGGCGGUUUCUUAAGUCUGAUGUGAAAGCCCCCGGCUCAACCGGGGAGGGUCAUUGGAAACUGGGAAACUUGAGUGCAGAAGAGGAGAGUGGAAUUCCACGUGUAGCGGUGAAAUGCGUAGAGAUGUGGGAGGAAACCCAGUGGCGAAGCGACUCUCUGGUCUGUAACUGACGCUGAGGAGCGAAAGCGUGGGGAGCGAACAGGAUUAGAUACC